RNAcentral lists this unclassified non-coding RNA (345 nucleotides) under soil metagenome. RNAcentral describes it as "partial contains 5.8S ribosomal RNA, internal transcribed spacer 2, and large subunit ribosomal RNA". The stretch from base 1 to 121 matches the Rfam family "5.8S ribosomal RNA", at positions 35 to 154 of the family's 154-position model. The record is from RNAcentral.
GAUGAAGAACGCAGCGAAAUGCGAUAAGUAAUGCGAAUUGCAGAAUUUCCGUGAGUCAUCGAAUCUUUGAACGCACAUUGCGCCCACUGGUAUUCCGGUGGGCAUGCCUGUUCGAGCGUCAUUAUCCUCCCUCAAACCCCGGGUUUGGUGUUGGACCCAAGUUGUGUGAACAACUGGCCUCAAAGACAAUGACGGCGUCCGUGGGACCCUCGGUGCAACGAGCUUUUAGGAGCACGCAUCGAGUUGCAAGGACCUUCCGGGCCGGUCUCCUUUACCAUUUUACAAGGUUGACCUCGGAUCAGGUAGGAAUACCCGCUGAACUUAAGCAUAUCAAUAAGCGGAGGA